This 821-nucleotide ribosomal RNA is filed under the name Phaeographis alcicornis. Its description in RNAcentral is "SSU rRNA". It matches the Rfam family "Bacterial small subunit ribosomal RNA", at positions 359 to 1227 of the family's 1533-position model. The record is from RNAcentral. Lineage: Eukaryota; Fungi; Ascomycota; Lecanoromycetes; Ostropales; Graphidaceae.
UAUUGGUCAAUAGCCUAAGCGGCUGAACCAGCAACUUGGAGGAAUGUACAGGGAAAACUGGUAAAAUGUGAUGUACCUGAUAGUAUUAGUGAUUAAUAUGAAAUUAACUAAGUUAAUUAAAAUUCAAAGUAGAUAUAUGAUUAUGACAAUAUUUGCUUAUUUCUUGACCAAGUCACGUGCCAGCAGUCGCGGUAAUACGUGGAAGAUAAGUGUUAUUCAUCUUUAAUAGGUUUAAAGGGUACCUAGACGGUUAAUUAAGCAUAAAAGUGUACUGAUUAUUAACUAGAGUUUAAUGUAAGAAGGAUUGAGUACGGUGAGUGAAGAGAUAAAAUUCUGUCAUACCACUUAGGAACUGGUAAAGGCGAAGGCAACCUUUUAUGUAAAAACUGACGUUGAGGGACGAAGGCUCGUAUUAAGUAAUAGGAUUAGAGACCCUAGUAUUGUGGGCAGACAAUGAUGAGUGUCAUAUGCAAGAAAAAUUUUUGUGUAUAAAUGAAAGUGUAAGCAUUCCACCUCAAGAGUAACGUGGCAACAUGGGAACUGAAAUCAUUAGACCGUUUCUGAAACUCGUAGUGAAGUAUGUUGUUUAAUUUGAUAAUCCUCAAAUAACCUUACCACAAUUUGUAUUACUAGUCUUUGUAUUAGUAACAAGCGUUGCACGGCUGUCUUCAGUCAAUGUUGUGAAACUUUGGUUAGAUCCAUUAAAUUGACGUAAACCCUUGCUUUAUUUGUUAUAAAGCAGUUCGCCGCUAUAUUGGUAAUGAUAUAAGGGACCAAGACAAGUCAUCAUGACCUGAACAUUGUGGGCUAUAGACGUGCCA